UUAUGGAGAGGACCGCCCUCGGGCGCCUCGUCUACAUUACGGAUGCAAUGCCUUGACUGGCUAUAGCGGUGCCGCAGCGAUGCGCCCGUGCAACCUUUUUGAAAGUCUAUACUUUAUGCCUACGAUAUACAAUAUACGAGUAUACAACUCAUAGCGUUGGAUCCCUUGGCAUGCCAUUCGAUGAAGACCGUUGCAAAAUGCGAUAAGUGGUGUGAUAUGCAAGUCCAAAACUUAUACGUGAAUCAUCGAAUUGUUGAACGCACUGCAUCGAUCCUUAUCCAGGAACGAUACGCCCUAUUGAGCGUCAUUAUGUCUUCGYGGCCUCGUCUUCAUCGACGUUGCCCGGGUUCGGGACCCACGGCCUCGYGGCCGCGUYUCCUCAGAUGCAUUUACCGCACGAGACUGUACACUUGCGUCCUUGUCAUGAGUGUCGAGGUACGAGAGUGAYGAGACUUGCGCCGGAUCGCCGUCCGCGGCGCAUCRGACCCCGCCUUCGGGCGACCCUACCGACAUGACCUCRCGGGGGUGG
Molecule: ribosomal RNA, 529 nt
Filed under: uncultured Tulasnella mycobiont of Riccardia latifrons
Lineage: Eukaryota; Fungi; Basidiomycota; Agaricomycetes; Cantharellales; Tulasnellaceae
Description: eukaryotic LSU rRNA
Rfam family: 5.8S ribosomal RNA (bases 146-307)
Source: RNAcentral